RNAcentral lists this ribosomal RNA (255 nucleotides) under uncultured bacterium. Its description in RNAcentral is "partial 16S ribosomal RNA". It matches the Rfam family "Bacterial small subunit ribosomal RNA", at positions 96 to 353 of the family's 1533-position model. The record is from RNAcentral.
UGGCGGACGGGUGAGUAAUGUCUGGGAAACUGCCUGAUGAGGGGGAUAACUACUGGAAACGGUAGCUAAUACCGCAUAACGUCGCAAGACCAAAGAGGGGGACCUUCGGGCCUCUUGCCAUCGGAUGUGCCCAGAUGGGAUUAGCUAGUAGGUGGGGUAAAGGCUCACCUAGGCGACGAUCCCUAGCUGGUCUGAGAGGAUGACCAGCCACACUGGAACUGAGACACGGUCCAGACUCCUACGGGAGGCAGCAUG